AGAGACAGAUAAGCAGUUGUCUUGAGAAUAUAAGGUCACUGGCAUUCCAUAAAUGGAUUCUUGUGCCUGCUUCAGAAACAAGUGGUGAAGUGCGGAGAAAUGUGGAGGAGAAGUGUGGAGGAGAAAGCAAUGGUGAUGCUUCUCUUUCCCUUCUGCACGUGGAACUUGGAAGUCGGCCUGAGCCCCUUGAGAUGGUGACUGUGGGCUGAACUCAGGUACUGGGGGAAGUCAAGUAAUAAAACUGUACCUUAGACUACUGUGUGGUUCCUGCUGUCUGACUUGAGAUCACUUCUGGCAGUGCUCAGAGGACAAUAUGUAGUACAGGGCAUUGACCUGAGAUUGGCUGUGUGUAAGAUAACUAUUUUAAUUCUGGAGAUUUAUAGAACACAAUCUGUACAGCCUUGACAUUGAACUUUCAUCAUCAUGAGGAAAUGUCCCAAGGACAAUUGGAUGUGAUGCUUGUAUGUGAAGCUGUUAUCUGUGAAAGA
Sorex araneus (European shrew) is the source of this 488-nucleotide long non-coding RNA. RefSeq lists it as uncharacterized. The transcript has 5 exons. NCBI's taxonomy places the organism in Eukaryota, Metazoa, Chordata, Mammalia, Eulipotyphla, Soricidae. The record is from RefSeq and is a predicted model, not a curated record.